RNAcentral lists this long non-coding RNA (853 nucleotides) under Ananas comosus (pineapple). RNAcentral describes it as "long non-coding RNA (ACOM_LNC002102)". Lineage: Eukaryota; Viridiplantae; Streptophyta; Magnoliopsida; Poales; Bromeliaceae. The record is from RNAcentral.
GUGCAUUACAAUGAGCUAAUACUAUAGAAGAUAAAAGAUUAAAAAAAUUAAAAUUUUAAAAUUUUUUGAUUUGUUAUGAGAUAUCAAUAAAUACAAAUAGAAAAUAUAAAACAGAUAUGUAUCAAUGUAGCAAAAAUUACAAUAGCAAAUAAAUUAUACAUAACACAAUAAUGAAAAAAAACAGUAACAGAGUUACUACUCCAUACAUACCUUUAUCGCCUUGUCAAGAUCGGAUAGGCAAUUUUCGUUCUCCGCAUCGCCUCCACCGCCAUUGUCGCAUAUCGAGCUUCUCUUUGAUCACGGCCACAUCGAUGCCGUACGGAUCCCCCCACACCCACCGCUUCUUCCCCUUCAUCGGCUCCAAAUUCAUCGCACUUCACCUCGCCAUGCCACCGCAAUCUUCAGAAUCCUAAUUUCACUCUGCACACAAUAUAAAAAAUAGAAAAAAAUUAAGAUAAAUAUAAAAAUUGAACCUUUCUUGUGCACCAAGAAAAAGCAGAAAGAAAAAUAAUGUGAUAAAAAUAAGUAUGAAGAGAUUUUAUUUUAUUUUUUUUUAAGCGAUUUGUUUAGAUGAAAAUGGAUCAUGUGAAUAUAUUAAUUAGAAACUGGGUGGGUGGAAAGACGAUGUUAAAUUUUGGUUUAGAUUUGUAGUUAUCUAAAUUGGAGUUAAAUCCUAAUCUAAUUCGGAUUGGAUAUAAUUUAGAUUUAAUUUGGCAUAUAUGGAUUAUGAGUCGGAAUCUAAUUUCUAAUUGAAUUAGGAUUAGACUCUAUUUAGGAGACAUGUAUUAUAAAUACAUGCUACGGUCAAAUUAAUCUAGCCGCGAUCCAAUUGAGAAGCCAUGCAAAUUAAUUA